Molecule: long non-coding RNA, 1556 nt
Filed under: Cyanistes caeruleus (blue tit)
Lineage: Eukaryota; Metazoa; Chordata; Aves; Passeriformes; Paridae
Description: lncRNA (ENSCCEG00000003148.1)
Source: RNAcentral
UGUGGGUAACGUGGGCUAAUCAAACUGGACAGGAUACUUUUUGCCUUUCAAUGGCUACCCCUUCGGAUCCUUUUCAAACUUGUUUAGUGGGCGCACCUUUGGAUGAUUCAUUCAAUGCCACAAUGUUUAAAAACUGGACAAAGAAUUGGAAAACACCCAAGGAAGCUAACAAAACAUUAUGUGAAAUUCCAUCAGGUAAAUUAAUGAUCAAUAUCUGUGACACAGGUUUAAUCUCAGCAAAUCCCAUUGGUGCUCAAAAUUGGUACAUUGCUACAGGUUUAAAUGUUACUGGGUCAGAACCACAAGAGUUAAGACUGUUAGGUUCAGCCCCUAGCAACUACUGUUUGGUUUUUGUCAAUUGGGCUAGGAACAAUUAUGCAAAAAGGUUUCAUGGGCCAAAUGGUACAAAUGUUUCUCCACAAAAUUUGCUAUAUUUGCAAAAUAAUGAUGCAUACUGUGGUAAUUGGUCUCACAAGGUAAAUUCUAGCAGUUCACCUCUACAAUUACCACCUGGUAUUUUUCUAAUCUGUGGAGAUCGUGCAUGGCAAGGAUUGCCAGCAAACCUUUAUGGUGGGCCUUGUUAUUUUGGGAAAUUGACAUUGUUUGCACCCACUAUACAGCAGCUCUUAGAAACCAAUAGAACCAAGUUACGAACAAAGAGAAGUGUGUUUCAAUUGGGACCAGAAUGCAAAGAUAAGGUUGAACUUUGGGAACGUCCUACAGUGAUUGUGUCAUCUAUUUUUACACCUGGAGUAUCUAGUGCUCAAGCCUUAACACAGUUACGACGACUGGCAUGCUGGACAGGAAAACAGUUUAAUAUUACAUCAAAGGUUUUGUCUGAUUUGCUUUCGGAUAUGAACAGUGUUAGGCAUGCUGUAUUGCAGAAUAGAGCUGCUAUUGAUUUUUUGCUAUUAGCACAAGGCCAUGGCUGUGAGGAUUUUGAUGGGAUGUGUUGCAUGAAUCUUUCUGAUCAUUCAAUGUCUAUUUAUGCUCGUCUUCAACAACUACAGAGCAAUAUGAAAAAAUUAACCAUAGAAACAAAUCCUUUAGAGGAAUGGUUUCAAUCCCUAGGUCUCACAGGAUGGUUAAAAAAUUUGGCACAAAUGGCAAUUGUUGUUAUAUUGAUCAUUGUGAUUGUGUUAUUGUUUAUUCCUUGUAUACUGCAAUGCUUGCAAAACAUGGUAAAAAAGGCUACUUCUACAGUUUUGUUAGUACAAAAAGAAAACAGGGGAAUUAUAGAGGAAUGGCUAGAGAGCAAAGGUCAUAUUCCCAUGCAGCAGUUAGCUGGGAAAGAAUUAGACAAUAGAGUACAGUUGGUGUGAGAUGUUGCAAAGUCAGGAAGGCCUUGGUGAUAGCUGUUAACUGAGAGCAGGACGCUGUGAUCAGAAGAAUGUGAAUUCAGCAUAGAUGAGCGAUCACAGGAAUGUAGAAUUAGGUGGAGUUGACCUUAAAUGAAGUAUCCAAUAAUGAGCUUGCUUUUUGCACUAUGUAUGAGCCUAAUUAUUGAUGCUAUAUAAGUGGUGUUAGAGUUAUCAAUAAACGAGACUUGCUGAUCA